Molecule: ribosomal RNA, 466 nt
Filed under: uncultured Klebsiella sp.
Lineage: Bacteria; Pseudomonadati; Pseudomonadota; Gammaproteobacteria; Enterobacterales; Enterobacteriaceae
Description: bacterial SSU rRNA
Rfam family: Bacterial small subunit ribosomal RNA
Source: RNAcentral
CCUACGGGCGGCAGCAGUGGGGAAUAUUGCACAAUGGGCGCAAGCCUGAUGCAGCCAUGCCGCGUGUGUGAAGAAGGCCUUCGGGUUGUAAAGCACUUUCAGCGGGGAGGAAGGCGUUAAGGUUAAUAACAUUGUCGAUUGACGUUACCCGCAGAAGAAGCACCGGCUAACUCCGUGCCAGCAGCCGCGGUAAUACGGAGGGUGCAAGCGUUAAUCGGAAUUACUGGGCGUAAAGCGCACGCAGGCGGUCUGUGCAAGUCGGAUGUGAAAUCCCCGGGCUCAACCUGGGAACUGCAUUCGAAACUGGCAGGCUAGAGUCUUGUAGAGGGGGGUAGAAUGCCAGGUGUAGCGGUGAAAUGCGUAGAGAUCUGGAGGAAUACCGGUGGCGAAGGCGGCCCCCUGGACAAAGACUGACGCUCAGGUGCGAAAGCGUGGGGAGCAAACAGGAUUAGAUACCCGUGUAGUC